RNAcentral lists this ribosomal RNA (2077 nucleotides) under Staphylococcus aureus. Its description in RNAcentral is "partial 23S ribosomal RNA". It matches the Rfam family "Bacterial large subunit ribosomal RNA", at positions 847 to 2925 of the family's 2925-position model. The record is from RNAcentral. Lineage: Bacteria; Bacillati; Bacillota; Bacilli; Caryophanales; Staphylococcaceae.
AGCUGGUUCUCUCCGAAAUAGCUUUAGGGCUAGCCUCAAGUGAUGAUUAUUGGAGGUAGAGCACUGUUUGGACGAGGGGCCCCUCUCGGGUUACCGAAUUCAGACAAACUCCGAAUGCCAAUUAAUUUAACUUGGGAGUCAGAACAUGGGUGAUAAGGUCCGUGUUCGAAAGGGAAACAGCCCAGACCACCAGCUAAGGUCCCAAAAUAUAUGUUAAGUGGAAAAGGAUGUGGCGUUGCCCAGACAACUAGGAUGUUGGCUUAGAAGCAGCCAUCAUUUAAAGAGUGCGUAAUAGCUCACUAGUCGAGUGACACUGCGCCGAAAAUGUACCGGGGCUAAACAUAUUACCGAAGCUGUGGAUUGUCCUUUGGACAAUGGUAGGAGAGCGUUCUAAGGGCGUUGAAGCAUGAUCGUAAGGACAUGUGGAGCGCUUAGAAGUGAGAAUGCCGGUGUGAGUAGCGAAAGACGGGUGAGAAUCCCGUCCACCGAUUGACUAAGGUUUCCAGAGGAAGGCUCGUCCGCUCUGGGUUAGUCGGGUCCUAAGCUGAGGCCGACAGGCGUAGGCGAUGGAUAACAGGUUGAUAUUCCUGUACCACCUAUAAUCGUUUUAAUCGAUGGGGGGACGCAGUAGGAUAGGCGAAGCGUGCGAUUGGAUUGCACGUCUAAGCAGUAAGGCUGAGUAUUAGGCAAAUCCGGUACUCGUUAAGGCUGAGCUGUGAUGGGGAGAAGACAUUGUGUCUUCGAGUCGUUGAUUUCACACUGCCGAGAAAAGCCUCUAGAUAGAAAAUAGGUGCCCGUACCGCAAACCGACACAGGUAGUCAAGAUGAGAAUUCUAAGGUGAGCGAGCGAACUCUCGUUAAGGAACUCGGCAAAAUGACCCCGUAACUUCGGGAGAAGGGGUGCUCUUUAGGGUUAACGCCCAGAAGAGCCGCAGUGAAUAGGCCCAAGCGACUGUUUAUCAAAAACACAGGUCUCUGCUAAACCGUAAGGUGAUGUAUAGGGGCUGACGCCUGCCCGGUGCUGGAAGGUUAAGAGGAGUGGUUAGCUUCUGCGAAGCUACGAAUCGAAGCCCCAGUAAACGGCGGCCGUAACUAUAACGGUCCUAAGGUAGCGAAAUUCCUUGUCGGGUAAGUUCCGACCCGCACGAAAGGCGUAACGAUUUGGGCACUGUCUCAACGAGAGACUCGGUGAAAUCAUAGUACCUGUGAAGAUGCAGGUUACCCGCGACAGGACGGAAAGACCCCGUGGAGCUUUACUGUAGCCUGAUAUUGAAAUUCGGCACAGCUUGUACAGGAUAGGUAGGAGCCUUUGAAACGUGAGCGCUAGCUUACGUGGAGGCGCUGGUGGGAUACUACCCUAGCUGUGUUGGCUUUCUAACCCGCACCACUUAUCGUGGUGGGAGACAGUGUCAGGCGGGCAGUUUGACUGGGGCGGUCGCCUCCUAAAAGGUAACGGAGGCGCUCAAAGGUUCCCUCAGAAUGGUUGGAAAUCAUUCAUAGAGUGUAAAGGCAUAAGGGAGCUUGACUGCGAGACCUACAAGUCGAGCAGGGUCGAAAGACGGACUUAGUGAUCCGGUGGUUCCGCAUGGAAGGGCCAUCGCUCAACGGAUAAAAGCUACCCCGGGGAUAACAGGCUUAUCUCCCCCAAGAGUUCACAUCGACGGGGAGGUUUGGCACCUCGAUGUCGGCUCAUCGCAUCCUGGGGCUGUAGUCGGUCCCAAGGGUUGGGCUGUUCGCCCAUUAAAGCGGUACGCGAGCUGGGUUCAGAACGUCGUGAGACAGUUCGGUCCCUAUCCGUCGUGGGCGUAGGAAAUUUGAGAGGAGCUGUCCUUAGUACGAGAGGACCGGGAUGGACAUACCUCUGGUGUACCAGUUGUCGUGCCAACGGCAUAGCUGGGUAGCUAUGUGUGGACGGGAUAAGUGCUGAAAGCAUCUAAGCAUGAAGCCCCCCUCAAGAUGAGAUUUCCCAACUUCGGUUAUAAGAUCCCUCAAAGAUGAUGAGGUUAAUAGGUUCGAGGUGGAAGCAUGGUGACAUGUGGAGCUGACGAAUACUAAUCGAUCGAAGACUUAAUCAAAA